UACGUAGGGUGCAAGCGUUGUCCGGAAUUAUUGGGCGUAAAGAGCUCGUAGGCGGCUUGUCGCGUCGAAUGUGAAAACCUGCAGCUCAACUGCAGGCUUGCAUUCGAUACGGGCAGGCUCGAGUUCGGUAGGGGAGACUGGAAUUCCUGGUGUAGCGGUGAAAUGCGCAGAUAUCAGGAGGAACACCGGUGGCGAAGGCGGGUCUCUGGGCCGAUACUGACGUGAGGAGCGAAAAGCAUGGGUAGCGAACAGG
This 253-nucleotide ribosomal RNA is filed under the name uncultured bacterium. RNAcentral describes it as "partial 16S ribosomal RNA". It matches the Rfam family "Bacterial small subunit ribosomal RNA", at positions 524 to 776 of the family's 1533-position model. The record is from RNAcentral.